UACGUAGGUGGCAAGCGUUGUUCGGAAUAACUGGGCGUAAAGGAUGCGUAGGCGGUUAAACAAGUUAUAUGUUAAAUAUAUAGGCUUAACCUGUAGAAAGCAUAUAAAACUGUUUAACUAGAGUGCAGGAGAGGUAAGUGGAAUUCCUAGUGUAGCGGUGAAAUGCUUAGAUAUCACGAAGAACUCCGAUUGCGAAGGCAGCUCACUGGACUGCAACUGACACUGAGGCUCGAAAGUGUGGGUAUCAAACAGG
This 253-nucleotide ribosomal RNA is filed under the name uncultured Candidatus Neoarthromitus sp. RNAcentral describes it as "uncultured Candidatus Arthromitus sp. partial 16S ribosomal RNA". It matches the Rfam family "Bacterial small subunit ribosomal RNA", at positions 524 to 776 of the family's 1533-position model. Lineage: Bacteria; Bacillati; Bacillota; Clostridia; Eubacteriales; Clostridiaceae. The record is from RNAcentral.